Molecule: non-coding RNA, 71 nt
Organism: Dipodomys ordii (Ord's kangaroo rat)
Lineage: Eukaryota; Metazoa; Chordata; Mammalia; Rodentia; Heteromyidae
Source: Rfam
UGGGAUGUGGCUUAGUGGUAGAGUGCUUGCCUAGCAUGCAUGAAGCCCUGGGUUCGACUCCUAAGUACCAC